AGAGUUUGAUCCUGGCUCAGAAUGAACGUUGGCGGCGUGGAUUAGGCAUGCAAGUCGAGCGAGAAUUUUUGAAUUGAAACUUCGGUCGAGAUUCGAAAAGGACAGCGGCGAAAGGGAGAGUAACGAGUAGAUUACGUACCCAGGGGUUCGGAAUAGCGGGGGGAAACCGCCGGUAAUGCCGAAUAAUGUCUCCGGACCAAAGAUUUAUUGCCCUUGGAGCGGUCUGCUUACUAUUAGCUUGUUGGUGUGGUAAUGGCGCACCAAGGCGAAGAUGGUUAGCGGGUGUGAGAGCAUGGCCCGUCUCACUGGGACUGAGACACUGCCCAGACACCUACGGGUGGCUGCAGUCGAGAAUCUUCCGCAAUGGACGAAAGUCUGACGGAGCGACGCCGCGUGCGGGAUGAAGGCCUUCGGGUUGUAAACCGCUGUCAGAGGGGAGGAAAUUUGACCGAUCCUCAAAGAGC
This 464-nucleotide ribosomal RNA is filed under the name uncultured Blastopirellula sp. RNAcentral describes it as "bacterial SSU rRNA". It matches the Rfam family "Bacterial small subunit ribosomal RNA", at positions 8 to 473 of the family's 1533-position model. Lineage: Bacteria; Pseudomonadati; Planctomycetota; Planctomycetia; Pirellulales; Pirellulaceae. The record is from RNAcentral.